GUAGUGUGAAAUAUGCUCCUUGUGAUGUAGCAUAUGAAAGUGGAAGUGCUAAUUUUAUUUGUGAUUAACCUUCUUGGUGGAGUAUUAAUUGGUAGAAAUUUGUUACAGUUGUCUUGAAAUAAAAAUUUUGAUUUUGGAAUUUCUAUGGCAUUUUGCAAUAUGUGUGAUUUCCAGUGGUUCAUUGCGUGAAAAUAUGCAUCAUAGCGUUUUUCUAAAUUAGUAAUUUAUGACAAGUAAUGAUGUCAUGCUAUUAUGCUGUGAUUAUGUGUAUAUGAUAAAGUCUUUAUUUAUAAUCCCAAAGAUCUGACUCUUAUACAUUGUAUCUGUGUAGCAGAGUACUUUAUUUAGGCUGUCUUCCAUGUUAUAUUUCUUAUAUUGAUGGAAGUGUAAAAUCUUGGCACUAAAUGUAAUAUUUAGUGUUUUUUAU
This 427-nucleotide unclassified non-coding RNA is filed under the name Hevea brasiliensis (rubber tree). The record is from RNAcentral. Lineage: Eukaryota; Viridiplantae; Streptophyta; Magnoliopsida; Malpighiales; Euphorbiaceae.